This 1468-nucleotide ribosomal RNA is filed under the name Escherichia coli. RNAcentral's name for it is "partial 23S ribosomal RNA". It matches the Rfam family "Bacterial large subunit ribosomal RNA", at positions 418 to 1869 of the family's 2925-position model. The record is from RNAcentral. Lineage: Bacteria; Pseudomonadati; Pseudomonadota; Gammaproteobacteria; Enterobacterales; Enterobacteriaceae.
CGGGACACGUGGUAUCCUGUCUGAAUAUGGGGGGACCAUCCUCCAAGGCUAAAUACUCCUGACUGACCGAUAGUGAACCAGUACCGUGAGGGAAAGGCGAAAAGAACCCCGGCGAGGGGAGUGAAAAAGAACCUGAAACCGUGUACGUACAAGCAGUGGGAGCACAGAGCAAUCUGUGUGACUGCGUACCUUUUGUAUAAUGGGUCAGCGACUUAUAUUCUGUAGCAAGGUUAACCGAAUAGGGGAGCCGAAGGGAAACCGAGUCUUAACUGGGCGUUAAGUUGCAGGGUAUAGACCCGAAACCCGGUGAUCUAGCCAUGGGCAGGUUGAAGGUUGGGUAACACUAACUGGAGGACCGAACCGACUAAUGUUGAAAAAUUAGCGGAUGACUUGUGGCUGGGGGUGAAAGGCCAAUCAAACCGGGAGAUAGCUGGUUCUCCCCGAAAGCUAUUUAGGUAGCGCCUCGUGAAUUCAUCUCCGGGGGUAGAGCACUGUUUCGGCAAGGGGGUCAUCCCGACUUACCAACCCGAUGCAAACUGCGAAUACCGGAGAAUGUUAUCACGGGAGACACACGGCGGGUGCUAACGUCCGUCGUGAAGAGGGAAACAACCCAGACCGCCAGCUAAGGUCCCAAAGUCAUGGUUAAGUGGGAAACGAUGUGGGAAGGCCCAGACAGCCAGGAUGUUGGCUUAGAAGCAGCCAUCAUUUAAAGAAAGCGUAAUAGCUCACUGGUCGAGUCGGCCUGCGCGGAAGAUGUAACGGGGCUAAACCAUGCACCGAAGCUGCGGCAGCGACGCUUAUGCGUUGUUGGGUAGGGGAGCGUUCUGUAAGCCUGCGAAGGUGUGCUGUGAGGCAUGCUGGAGGUAUCAGAAGUGCGAAUGCUGACAUAAGUAACGAUAAAGCGGGUGAAAAGCCCGCUCGCCGGAAGACCAAGGGUUCCUGUCCAACGUUAAUCGGGGCAGGGUGAGUCGACCCCUAAGGCGAGGCCGAAAGGCGUAGUCGAUGGGAAACAGGUUAAUAUUCCUGUACUUGGUGUUACUGCGAAGGGGGGACGGAGAAGGCUAUGUUGGCCGGGCGACGGUUGUCCCGGUUUAAGCGUGUAGGCUGGUUUUCCAGGCAAAUCCGGAAAAUCAAGGCUGAGGCGUGAUGACGAGGCACUACGGUGCUGAAGCAACAAAUGCCCUGCUUCCAGGAAAAGCCUCUAAGCAUCAGGUAACAUCAAAUCGUACCCCAAACCGACACAGGUGGUCAGGUAGAGAAUACCAAGGCGCUUGAGAGAACUCGGGUGAAGGAACUAGGCAAAAUGGUGCCGUAACUUCGGGAGAAGGCACGCUGAUAUGUAGGUGAAGCGACUUGCUCGUGGAGCUGAAAUCAGUCGAAGAUACCAGCUGGCUGCAACUGUUUAUUAAAAACACAGCACUGUGCAAACACGAAAGUGGACGUAUACGGUGUGACGCCUGCCCGGUGC